GUCUAUGGCCAUGCCACCCUGAAUGUGUCUGAUCCCAUCUGAUCUCGGAAGCUAAGUGGGGUCAGGCCUGGUUGGUACUUGGAUGGGAGACCACUUAGGAAUACCAGGUGCUGUAGGUG
RNAcentral lists this ribosomal RNA (119 nucleotides) under Pteropus alecto (black flying fox). Lineage: Eukaryota; Metazoa; Chordata; Mammalia; Chiroptera; Pteropodidae. The record is from RNAcentral.